ACUCCUACUGGAGGCAGCAGUAGGGAAUUUUCGGCAAUGGGCGCAAGCCUGACCGAGCAACGCCGCGUGAGUGAUUAAGGCCUUCGGGUUGUAAAGCUCUGUUGUAAGGGAAGAACAUUCAGGAUAGGAAAUGAUCUUGAACUGACGGUACCUUACCAGAAAGCCACGGCUAACUACGUGCCAGCAGCCGCGGUAAUAC
RNAcentral lists this ribosomal RNA (199 nucleotides) under uncultured bacterium. Its description in RNAcentral is "partial 16S ribosomal RNA". It matches the Rfam family "Bacterial small subunit ribosomal RNA", at positions 335 to 526 of the family's 1533-position model. The record is from RNAcentral.